CGCCCGCAAGACUAGCUUGUCGCUGCCACCGGACUGCGAGAUGUCGAGAUGUAGGGUUUUGUGUUUGUGCGGCGCCCCGGCGCAGGUGCGGCCGCGAGUGGGCAGUCGGGGAACGCUCCGCUAGGGUUAGGAGGUCCUGGAACCAGUUCCUCUAGCAUAUAACGAUAGACAGCAGAGGGACGGUACCUACGGCCGAUGACGUCCGUUGGGCAUGCAACGGCACGCCGAAACAAACACGGAAGCCGUCCAAUUCUUGCGUUGGCCCAUAGAAUCGAUGCGGCCCAUAUUCAGGAAGCGCAAAAGGGAAAGGAUACAGAGUGCUCCGGGCACUCGCCGCCGCCGCCGCGCCCGUGAUGGCCAUCGGCCAGCUGUUGCUGCUCGCGACCUCCCCCGGCGCUGGAGCAGGCAAGCAGGUGCCCGUGCAAGUUCUCUCCUCCAUCGCCCUCAUCCUCCGCAAAGGAACCGAGUGCUCCAGGCACUCGCCGCCGCUACAGUGCCCGUGAAG
RNAcentral lists this long non-coding RNA (505 nucleotides) under Setaria viridis. Its description in RNAcentral is "long non-coding RNA (SVIR_LNC005171)". Lineage: Eukaryota; Viridiplantae; Streptophyta; Magnoliopsida; Poales; Poaceae. The record is from RNAcentral.